AGUCUUGUGUUGGCUCCUUGUUUGCUUCUGACAUGGCCAUUGCAUGAAAAGCACCCCAGCUCCUCUUUGGUUGUACAGCGAUCAUCACAAGAGGGACUCUUGAAGGAUGGUUCGCAGAAGGGAAAAGAAAGGUGUUCCAAAGAGAGGUACCAUCGUGAACACAGAGCACAAAUACCUCCUGAUCAUCAGGGUGUGAUAAGAAUUCACUGGCCAGUCUCCUUGGAUAUUUCUUCUGAACUGUGCUAUUUGAUUCGGCACCACCAGUGGCUUUAGUAGAAGAGCUGCCAUAAGACAGUGCAUAAUUCCACCUGAUUCUGUCAGUUCAGUGUGUUUGAAAGUGGGUCAAAGCAAACUUUCUGAAGGAGACUGAAAUUUAGUUAAACUUGAGGAAUGAGCAGGAAUUGACUUGAUAGAGAAAAAAGAAUCUUCUGGAGGUGAGUGGGAGUAGAGUACAGGCAAUGGACCAGAGUGCCCUGAGUGGAUCCAUUGGCGAAGGAGAAGGAGGUUGGAGAUGCCGAAUGUGAAGAUGACCUUGACGAGAUACCCUGAGCUACAACAGCUGCAAACAAGCCUUCAGCAAAGUUUGCUUGAGCCAGGCUGUAGAUAAUCUCCAUCCUCAUCUCCAUGCGUGGAUGAUAACCCUUCCAAGUUCUAUAGCCUUUGCCGCUGGAGUUCUGGGAGCACCUGUCACUGACCCCAGUGCCUGCUUUGUGAUGCUGCUUCCUCAUUGUUAGUAGAGCCUGAUGUCCAUUUAUGCCCUCCUGUGACCAACUCAGCUCACCUCUUGUAAUUGACGGUGCUGAGUCUUCUUAGCCUGAAGGCAAGAAAAGUGUGCUGCCGACCUUUCCCCAUUUUCAGAGUCAGCCAACAGAAGGGCUUGUUCCGGGACUGACAAACAGAGGAAAAAUCCCUCCCCAUCAGAAAAUCAAAUGCACAAGAGCAAGUUUGUAAGGAAAUCAAAACUCCUUGGGGGAGUCCCGUCGUGGCUCAGCUGAAAGGAAUCUGACUAGCAUCCAUAAGGACACAGGUUCGAUCCCUGGCCUCACUCAGUGGGUUAAGGAACCGGUGUAGACACAGCUUGGAUCUGGUGUUGCUGCGGCUGUGUUGUAGGCCAGCAGCUAUAGCUCCUAUUCGACCUUUAGCCUGGGAACCUCUAUAUGCCAUGGGUGCAGCCCUAAAAAGACAAA
RNAcentral lists this long non-coding RNA (1187 nucleotides) under Sus scrofa (pig). RNAcentral's name for it is "lncRNA (ENSSSCG00035049218.1)". The record is from RNAcentral. Lineage: Eukaryota; Metazoa; Chordata; Mammalia; Artiodactyla; Suidae.